RNAcentral lists this small RNA (23 nucleotides) under Arabidopsis thaliana (thale cress). Its description in RNAcentral is "Ath_wt_10997". Lineage: Eukaryota; Viridiplantae; Streptophyta; Magnoliopsida; Brassicales; Brassicaceae. The record is from RNAcentral.
UCAGCGGACUGCUCGAGCUGCUU